Nilaparvata lugens (brown planthopper) is the source of this 1747-nucleotide long non-coding RNA. RefSeq lists it as uncharacterized. NCBI's taxonomy places the organism in Eukaryota, Metazoa, Arthropoda, Insecta, Hemiptera, Delphacidae. The record is from RefSeq and is a predicted model, not a curated record. The transcript has 4 exons.
GCAGGUGCGGAGAUCAUUAAAUGCCCUAUUGUUGUUAUAUAAUAUUUUAAAUCAUAACAUCCAUUUACCAUAUUUUAUCAGCCGAAUUAAUUUCAGUGUACCAUAUGCAAGACCUAGAAGGAAUAUAUUGUUCGAGAUUCCCUUUGCUAGAACAAACCAUCAUUACAACUCAUUUCUUUAUAAAACCUUACGACUAGUUUAAUAGCUUGAAUGAACACAUUGAUCCUUUUUCGAACUCAUUCAAUGAAUAUAAGAAACAUUGUGAACUGAAUCUAUCAUAAGACAAGACGCUCGUUUUUGAGAUUAAUUGUUUUGUAAACUCUGGCUGGAACUCUCUUUUCACAUUUUUCUUUAUAUGAAUGUAAUUAAUUUGAUUAUUUCAACUGUGUAAAUGCUUUUUGCUUUCUUUUCUUUAUUUACUAUAUUUCAUAAUGUAUAUAAGUUGAAUUGUUGUUUCAUUUAAUUGUGUAAAUAUAUGGCUCUUUAUGGAUCUCUGUGAGCCUUUGUAUGUAAAGAAAAUGAAUAAAUAAAAAUAACAGUCUUCCAUAUGUGCUUGUAAUAUUGUGAACUUAUUAAGACUUAUCAAAUGCAACUGUAGGUUGUGAAAUGUACUGUGUUGAAUAAAACUAUUAUCUUAUCUUAUCUUCUUACCUAUUAGCAAUAGUCUGUGACACUUGAACACUUGAGGACAUUGCUCUCACCAAAAAAAAAUCUUUUACCAGUAAAUUUUAUUCCAAUUAAUAAAUCUGGAUAAAACUUUAGAAUACAUACGUUCACGAUUUGAAUUGAUUUAUCAAUUUUUAAAGCGUUACUCAAUCCUCCACAAUUAUUUGGUAGUUAGUAGCCAUUACUCAAGCACAAGUCUGUGUCGAAUGUGGUCAUCACCCUCAGUAAAAACCUUAUCCAAUUGAAUUCCAUUAAUCUAAUCUAGAUACAUUUUUUCAAAUAGUAUUAUUUUAAAGCGUUCACAUUGUACACAUGAUCAAUUACUAGCUUCAUUGAAAUCGGAUAACUAAUUUCACAGUACUUGAAUGUAUUCUGUUGUGGUGGGGGGAGGGGACAGCUUGGUAUACUGAUUGCUGUAAUGGGAUGACAGCUUACAAGUAUGGUACUUGAGAGAUGGCUGAAUUUCUGAUCGAACGUAACAGCUCGGUGACAAGAAAGAACGAAGACCCCUCCAUUACACCUCAUAAAUGGGAUACAAUGACCUUGUGCGCCUUGUGACCUUGUGCUCCACAACUGUGGAGCCGACAUCAACGCUAAAGAUAAGAUGAUACCAAAACAUAUUACACAGUGUAGAUGGACAGAUAGAAAGUGUGAACAUCAAAAGCCAUCGUGUGUGUUACCCAGUUUCCAUUCUGCAUCUAACAAUAGUAACCGAACAUCCAACAUCAUAACUUUAUUAUAUCAUCUAGUUAAUUUUGAUAUCACAUUAACUAAAAAGCUUUCCUCAUAAUAUACAAGAAAUUAAUACAUUGCCGAGAUUGUCAAAGAUGUGAAUUUUCAAUGUGCUUUGAUGCAAAUUAUUGCAAAAAACUAAUAUCAUGGUUAGCUAUGCAUAAAUUAAUAGGCAUGAUGGUCAUUCUUUACUGAAUCGAAAUAAGCUGUUAUAACUUUGUCAACUAUUAAUUUGGUUUUCAAUAAACUAGUUAUGAUCAGAUGCCUUAUUAAUAAAUGCAAAAUUCAUGUAGGUUAUGUAGCUUUUCUGCAAUAAACUAAAAUUACUCAAUAAUUAAGUUGUUUAAGU